GUUAGCUGAGCACUGUUUUCUCUCGGCGCGAUAGCAAGGUUGCGAUUGUGCCGAGAAAAAUGGCUCGCCGCCGGAAAAAUGCAAUCCCCGCUCCUGCUUAGAUCAUUACUCCUGCUAAUGGUGUUACUAAGGAAUUAGAACCGCUCACUUUUGGUAGCUUUCUCCCACAGAAGUUCCAAUUGAUUGAGGAGAUUCAUGAAGAUGGUUGUGUUGAGGAUGAUAUGCCUGACCAAUUGAGUAAAAUGGAGGGAAACUCAAAUUCAGCUGUGCGUCGAUUACACUUCUCAGAAACUAGUGGAUCCGAGAAACCUACUCCAUCUGCUGCUGAUAUUGUCAGAGGUAAUCGUAGCUCACAAAUGGGUAAAACGCUUUCGUUUGUUCCUCCUACUGAAAGAGAUGGUAAGAAAAUUGUCAAAUUAAGUGAAGAUGACUUGAAAUCACAUGUUGAUUACUGGAAGACUUCCUUAAUUGGGUACAUAUUUGGUGAGACGCCGUAUGAGAAAACUAUGGAUAAUUUUGUGUUGCAUGUGUGGAAUUUUGUCUCUAAGCCUCAGAUACUGAUUCACUCUAAGGGUUACUGCCUUUUCAGGUUUAAUACUAUAAAGGACAAAGAUCAAGUUAUUCAAUCAAGUGCUUAUUUAUUCAAUAGAUUAACUCUGAGGGUUACUGCCAUUUCAGAUUUAAUACUAUAGAGGACAGCGAUCAAGUUAUUCAAUCAUGUUCUUAUUCUUAUAGGAAUAAGCCAAUGGUGUUGAAACCAUGGGAAAUUGAUUUCUCUUUCCAGAAGGACAUGCUGAGUACAGUUCCUGUGUGGAUUAGGUUUCUGGGACUACCUGUAGGCUAUUGGUCAACUGAUGCAUUGAGCAAGUUGGCUAGUGCAGUGGGGAAACCCUUGUAUACAGACAAGUUCACAGCUCAUUAUGAGAAAAUAUCUUAUGCUAGAGUGCUAAUGGAGGUUGAUGCUGCAUAUCCUCUACCUGAUCAGAUAGAGAUUGAGACUCCUUUUGGGCUUAAAACUCAGAUGAUUCACUGGAAGCCUAUCUAUUGCAUGCAUACCCUCUACCUAAUCAGAUAGAGAUUGAGACUCAUUUUGGGCUUAAAACUCAGAUGAUUGAUUAUGACUGGAAGCCUAUCUAUUGCAAUCACUAUCUGAAAUUUGGCCAUGAUUAUAUAGGUUGCUGGUAUAAUACUAGCUUUGAUGAAGAACAGGAGCUGGACGAAGGGGGUAAGCCAAAAAGACAGAGGAUCAGAAUGAAAAAGUAUGUAAAACCAGUAAAGCAAGAAUGGCUGGUUAAAAAGGAUCGAGAUAGAGUAGAGCUAAAUGCACAGGAGCAAUUGCCAGAACAAUCAGCUAAUAAGGAAACUGAGGGGUUGGGGGAAACCACAAUUAUAAAGGUGACUACUCAACAGGAUGCAAAGAAAAGUACUGACAUUCAGGAGAAAAAUGAAACAGUAAAUAGUGAAUCUAUUUGCAGCAUUAGGAUGCAAAGCAAAGUACUGACAUUCAGGAACAGAAUGAAACAGUAAAUAGUGAAUCUAUUUACAGCAUUGAGGUAAUGGAAGAAAAUAGCAGAAAGGGCAAGGCAAUUGUUGAAGGGAUAGAUGCUGGAAGAGGGGGACAACAUAUUGACCCUGGACCUUCUCAGUACCUAAAUCCAAAGUUGAUAUGAUUAUUGUAACUUGGAAUAUUAGGGGGCUAAACCUAGCCCAUAAGCAGAAAGCGUUGAAGACCUUUCUUGCUGUCAAUAAAGUAGAUAUUCUGGGUUGUAUAGAGACUAGAGUUAAGGAACAUAAAGCAAAGAAAAUACAAGGAAAGAUUGCAAAAGGAUGGAAUGUCCAUUGCAAUUAUUCAAAGGCUGUUAAUGGGAGAAUUUGGCUUCUUUGGAAACCUCAUAUCCAUCUUCAAGUUUCCCAAGUGACUGAAUUGCAAUUAUUCAAAGGCUGUUAAUGAGAGAAUUUGGUUUCUUUGGAAACCUCAUAUCCAUCUUCAAUUUUCCCAAGUGACUGAUCAAUUCAUUCAGUGUUUUAUUGAAGAUUCCAACAGUCAAUUCAGAACUCACUUCUGUGUCAUUUAUGCUCAGAAUGAUGGCAACCAAAGAGAACAGUUGUGGAGUGAUCUGAGGCAAAUACAUAUACCUGGCCAGGAAAAUUGGCUGUUGAGUGGUGAUUUUAAUAAUGUCUUAAGUUUUGAAGAUAGAAUAGGGUCACCUGUAUCUGAUGCUGAAGUUAAAGGUUUUAGAAGUGUCAUUGAUGACUUGCAGCUUACUCCUCUUAGAGCAAAAGGUUGGCAUUUCACUUGGACAAACAAGCUUGCUGAGUGGAGAUUUUAAUAAUGUCUUAAGUUCUGAAGACAGAAUUGGUUCACAUGUAUCUGAUGCUGAAGUUAAAGGUUUUAGAAGUGUCAUUGAUGACUUGCAGCUUACUCCUCUCAGGGAAAAUGGUUGGCAUUUCACUUGGACAAACAAGUAGGAUGUUUCAUCAAGGGUAUAUAGUAAGAUUGACGGGGCAUUAGGCAACUACCAGUGGAUACAACAGUAUGGACACAUUGAAGCUGACUUUAUGAAUCCAUCAAUAUCUGAUCACUCUCCUAUCCUUAUCAAAUGUGAUGGCCAGAAGUUGCUUCAUCCAAAGCCUUUCAGAAUGUUUAUCAAUGUUAUGGAAUCCCCUCAGUUCCAAAAUAUUGUACAGCAUGUCUGGAGACAGAAUUUUGUGGGUGCACCUAUGCAGCAGAUAUGUAGUAAAUUAAAUAAUAUGAAACAGCAGAUAAAGGAGAUUAAUGCUUAUAUGGCUUUAUAUAGGCAAAAACUUGUACAGGCUAGAGAUAAACUAGAAAUUAUCCAGAACCAGUUGCAUCAAUCGUCAAAUGUGAUGGUCAUAAGUUGCUUCACCCAAAGCCUUUUAGAUUGUAUAUCAAUGUUAUGGAAUCCCCUCAGUUCCAAAAUAUUGUACAACAUGUCUGGAGACAGAAUUUUGUGGGUGCACAUAUGCAGCAGAUAUGGAGUAAAUUAAAGAAUAUGAAACAACAGCUAAAGGAGAUUAAUGCUUAUAUGGCUUCAUAUAGGCAAAAACUUGUACAGGCCAGAGAGAAACUAGAAAUUAUCCAGAACCAGUUGCAGCAAUCUCCAUUACUUCAACCUCUGUUUAAUGAGGAAAAAGCAGCACUUGAAGAAAUCCAGAAAUGGAGUAUUGUGGAGGAACAAAUAAUGAGGUAGAAAUCCAAGGCUUGCUGGAUUGAAUGUGGUGAUGCCAAUACAAAGUACUUCCAUGCUCAGUGGAAAAUCAGAACCAGCCAGAACAUCAAACCUCCAUAUAUAGUGAUACAUGUUUAAAACUGACAGAUCCCAAGGUAGUGGAACAAGAGUUUAUCAGUGUUACUUGCUGGAUUGAAUGUGGUGAUGCCAACACAAAGUACUUCCAUGCUCAAUGGAAAAUCAGAACCAGUCAGAACAGCAUAACCUCCAUAUAUACUGAUACAGGUUUAAAGCUGACAUAUCCCAAGGUAGUGGAACAAGAGUUUAUCAGUGUUUUUCAAUCAUUGAUGGGAGAUUGUGCUGGGGAACUACCUUGUGUAAACACAACUAUCAUCAAGGAGGGUACCUGUUUAACUCUACCACAACAAAGAAUGCUGAUACAAGAGGUUACAAUGAGGGAGAUCACAAGAGCAAUAAUGGAGAUGCCUAAGGAUAAAGCACCUGGAGUGGAUGGAUUCCCUGUGGAAUUCUUCAUUAAGAACUGGGAAUUAGUCAAAGAUGAUAUUCUUGCUACUACAAAUGAUUUCUUUUCUACAAACAGAAUGCCUCAAAUGAUUAACACAACAGCUAUUGCACUUGUCUCCAAAGUUAAAGCUCCUUCAACUGUUAAAGACGCCUCAAAUGAUUAAUACAAUAACUAUUGCACUUGUUCCCAAAGUUAAAGCUCCUGCAACUGUUAAAGAUUACAGGCCCAUAGCUUGCUUCACCACCUUAUAUAAGAUCAUAUCCAUAGUCAUUACUAAAAGAAUGAAAAGUGUGAUUGGUGAUCUAAUUGGGCAGGCUCAAUCAGCUUUCAUUGAAGGAAGAAGCAUAGAUGAUAACAUUCUACUUAGCCAUGAAAUCUUCAAAGGAUAUUCUAGGAAAGGAGUGUCUCCCAUAUGUGUUUUGAAAGUGGAACUGAGAAAGCCUUAUGAUAUUUUGGAAUUGAGUUUCCUUAAGAAGGUUCUUAUUGAUCUAGGUUUCCCUGCUAAAUUUGUGCAAUGGAUCAUGGCAUGUGUUACUACAGUCUCUUAUUCUCUAGUUCUGAAUGGUGGUUUAACAAAACCUUUCAAAGCUAAGAGGGGUAUUAGACAAGGUGACCCUAUGUCACCUUAUCUAUUUCUGAUUGCUAUGGAGUAUUUGAAUAGGGAACUGGGACAACUACACAAGAAUGGUGAUUUCAAUUUUCAUCCUAAAUGCAGGAAGUUUAACAGUAUUCAUGUACGCUUUGCUGAUAACCUAUUAAUGUUCUGCAGAGCUGAUCUUAUUUCUAUUAGAUGAAAUUUAAUAGUAUUCAUGUAUGUUUUGCUGAUGACCUAUUAAUGUUCUGCAGAGCUGAUCUUAUUUCUAUUAGCAUUUUAAAGGAGGCUUUCCACAGAUUUCUGAAGCAUCUGGUCUACAAGCAAAUGUUAAGAAGAAUGCAUUAUACAUGGCUAGAAUAAAGAAGAAUGUCAGAGAGGUAAUUCUAGGGACACUGGGUUUUAUUAAAGGGGAGCUGCCAUUUAGAUAUCUGGGGAUACCCUUGGACUCCAAGAAACUGGCUAUCUGUCACUAUCUGCCUCUGAUUGAGAAGAUAACAGCCAAGAUAACAUGUUGGUCUGCAAAAUUGCUCUCUUAUGCUGGAAGAUGUCAGCUGAUCAAAGUAUGAUUGAGAAGAUAACAACCAAGAUAACAUGCUGGUAUGCAAAAUUGCUCUCUUAUGCUGGAAGAUGUCAGCUGAUCAAAGCUGUCAUAUUUGGAGUUCAAACCUACUCGGCUCAAAUUUUCAUUAUGCCUAAGAAAGUGUUGAAAACGAUUGAAACUAUCUGCAGAACUUUUUUGUGGACUGGAAGUGCUAAUCCAUCCAGGAAGGUACUAGUUGCUCGGGAAAGAGUAUGCAGGCCAAAAACAGCAGGUGGACUGAAUAUCCUAGACAUGAAGGCAUGGAACAAAGCAGCAAUCAGUAAACAUCUUUNNNNNNNNNNNNNNNNNNNNNNNNNNNNNNNNNNNNNNNNNNNNNNNNNNNNNNNNNNNNNNNNNNNNNNNNNNNNNNNNNNNNNNNNNNNNNNNNNNNNNNNNNNNNNNNNNNNNNNNNNNNNNNNNNNNNNNNNNNNNNNNNNNNNNNNNNNNNNNNNNNNNNNNNNNNNNNNNNNNNNNNNNNNNNNNNACCAGUAGAGAUGCUAUCAUGGGGAAUCAGUUGCUUCAGGGGACUUUGUUUAGCAGACUGUAAGGAAUGUGCAACCUAGAUCACUUUCAGAUCAAGAAGAUGUAUCUCACUCUGAUUCCUAAUUUUAGCAAAUUUGAAUGGAAGAACUUGUUGUUGCUUGCCAAUGUUCAUCCUAGGCAUCGAUUCACUAUGUGGUUAGCUGCACAAAAAAGGCUACCAACAGUGGACAGAUUGCAGAAAAUUGGCAUCCAAGUGCCUGCAACAUGUGUAUUCUGUAAGCAAAGUGUAGAAUCCUUUAAACACUUAUUUUUUGACUGCUCAAUCACAAGACAUCUGUGGACUAGACUCUGUUUAUAGCUGGGGCAUCAAAAAAAUUUUGGAGAUUGGCAACUGAACUGCAAUGGGUAAACAGUAAAGCAAAGAGCAGAGUGGGUUUAAAUGCUAUCUCAGCUGGUGUGUUUAUCAAUACUAUUGCACUAAUCUGGAGGGAGAGGAACAACAUCAGAUUUGAAAAGAAAGCCUAUGAGGAGAAUCAGAUUUGCAGAGAAAUUGUUUAACGUAUCCAUAUUCGAGGCAGAAAUUGUAGUCUAUGACAAAAUGGCUUGAGGCAAAUUAACAGUUUUCCAUAGAUCUUUACAUAUCCAUAUUCGAGGCAGAAAUUAUAGUGGAUGGCAAAAUGGCUUGAGGCAAAUUAACAGUUUUCCAUAGAUAUAGUUUGUACGAGCUAACUACUAUACUUAGUUGUAAUUAGUGAAAGAGUACUUAUAUACUUAGUAGAGAUGAUUGUGAUGUAAAGGAGUAGUAGCAAGUCAAAGCUACUACUAGAGCUCUACCUUAUUAAUUUUUUGUUAUUAAUGGAUACAAAUGUUAAAUCAAAAAAAAUAAUUGCUUAAAAAUACAACCCAACAGAUAGUAUUAAUAAUACAUGUGCAGACCUGUAGUUUUUUUAGUUUUCACCUACAUAGCCAACUCACACCUAGUUGCCUCAGACCAACAAAAAUAACAGUACCAACUGGAGUUCAUUAAUGCAAUGUGUUUUAAUAUAUAUCAUGCCUUGUGAUUGGAAUAAAAAAUAAUAAGAAGUGUGCUGCCCUGCACAAAACUAAAAUAUGGAUCUUACUCACAUGCUUGAAAUAAUAAAACUUGGAUCACAACCACCAAAGAAGACUAAAUCACAACCACGAAAGAAGACAAAAUACCAGUAGACAAUACCAAAAAUAAAAUGAGAUAUUUAGUAGAAAGCCCAAUUCAUUGAAGAAUUUUUUCAAACACCUACAUAACAAAAGUUCUUGACAUGUUAAAGUUUUCACGCAAAAAACAGCCCUAAUUCCUAAAGAGAAAACACAAAUUUUUAAGAUGCUAUCAAAGAUGGAAAAGAAGCACAGGAUAAGAACCAUAAUAUUCACCAGGAAAUGAGGUUUUGAAGGGGAAAAUCUACUGAAGUGCAAUUAAUUCCAAGAUGCAAAAAAUGGAUAAAGAAUAGUGUAAGGAAAGUUCUUUUUUAGAAAUAUCAUACCACAUGCGUGAGAUUAAAAUAACUGCAAUUCUUCCGCUGAC
This 6933-nucleotide long non-coding RNA is filed under the name Nicotiana benthamiana. RNAcentral's name for it is "long non-coding RNA (NBEN_LNC027078)". Lineage: Eukaryota; Viridiplantae; Streptophyta; Magnoliopsida; Solanales; Solanaceae. The record is from RNAcentral.